CCUACGGGAGGCAGCAGUGAGGAAUAUUGGUCAAUGGGCGGACGCCUGAACCAUCCAAGUCGCGUGCAGGAUGACGGCCCUACGGGUUGUAAACUGCUUUUAUACGGGAAUAACGCCCCUUACGUGUAGGGCUUUGCAUGUACCGUAUGAAUAAGGACCGGCCAAUGCCGUGCCAGCAGCCGCGGUAAUACGGAAGGUCCGUGCGUUAUCCGGAUUUAUUGGGUUUAAAGGGAGCGUAGGCCGGAAUUCAAGCGUGCUGUGAAAUGUCCGGGCUCAACCCGGGCCUUGCAGCGCGAACUGGCGUGCUUGAGUCGGCGGAAAGCAGGCGGAAUUCGUCGUGUAGCGGUGAAAUGCUUAGAUAUGACGAAGAACCCAGAUUGCGAAGGCAGCUUGCUGCAGCGGAACUGACGCUGAUGCUCGAAAGCGCGGGUAUCGAACAGGAUUAGAUACCCUUGUAGUC
RNAcentral lists this ribosomal RNA (460 nucleotides) under uncultured bacterium. Its description in RNAcentral is "partial 16S ribosomal RNA". It matches the Rfam family "Bacterial small subunit ribosomal RNA", at positions 338 to 795 of the family's 1533-position model. The record is from RNAcentral.